RNAcentral lists this ribosomal RNA (294 nucleotides) under uncultured bacterium. Its description in RNAcentral is "partial 16S ribosomal RNA". It matches the Rfam family "Bacterial small subunit ribosomal RNA", at positions 775 to 1067 of the family's 1533-position model. The record is from RNAcentral.
GGAUUAGAUACCCUGGUAGUCCACCCCGUAAACGUUGGGAACUAGUUGUGGGGGCCAUUCCACGGUCUCCGUGACGCAGCUAACGCAUUAAGUUCCCCGCCUGGGGAGUACGGCCGCAAGGCUAAAACUCAAAGGAAUUGACGGGGACCCGCACAAGCGGCGGAGCAUGCGGAUUAAUUCGAUGCAACGCGAAGAACCUUACCAAGGCUUGACAUACACCAGAACGGGCCAGAAAUGGUCAACUCUUUGGACACUGGUGAACAGGUGGUGCAUGGUUGUCGUCAGCUCGUGCCG